UUCAAGCCAGCAAACCAGUUCUAGUGCAGCGUCUGUAACUAUUAAUCAAGCAUCUCAAGAAGAUCGCCCAACUGUUGCUCCAACAAUUGAUUUUAUUUCAGAAGGCCCAAGCACUCAAUCAUCUGCCAGUUCAUCUUAUGAAGAUACCACCGUUGGAUCAUCAGACGUUGUAGAUCAAACAUCCAUUCAAAAUACAACACCUAGUUCUUCAGCCGAAUCUGGUUCAAUCCGAAAUUCAGAUUCAGAUUCACAGUCUUAUAACCCAGUUACUCAGCAAUCAGGUGAAGUAUCAAUAGAUGUGACCGUUGGAUCAGUCGACUCAGUUUCAACUGAAACUAGUAACCAAGCUACCCAAACAUCACAAUCGUCCAGCAAUGUAUCAGUUUCAGUUUCAACUACAUCUGAAGGUAAUGAACCUACAACUCAGGCAACUUCUAGUACCUCUGAUGGUAAGCCAGUUGUUGUAAUAAUAGCUUCAAAUGAUAAUGACUCUGUUUCUUCUGGU
Molecule: long non-coding RNA, 505 nt
Filed under: Lupinus mutabilis
Lineage: Eukaryota; Viridiplantae; Streptophyta; Magnoliopsida; Fabales; Fabaceae
Description: partial ncRNA
Source: RNAcentral